UGGAUCCUUAACCCACUGAAUGAGGCCAGAGAUCAAACCCACAUCCCCAUGGACUCCACGUCAGGCUCUUAACCCACUGACCCACAAGGAAAACUGUGUAAAUAUCUUAUUUCCAUUUUACUAGUUUAGGGAGAAACCACCACCAUGUAAGGGCAGAGCCCUCUUUACAAAGAAACUGAGGAACCAAGAAAUCUGUCACUAAGCUAGAUCAGACUGCCAACACUUUGGAUGACAGUCAGGAAGAUCAUAGUGACCUUGUUAAAUCCAAGAAACGGUCAGCUGGAAACCUGACUUUCCACAGGAGCAAGAUAUUUAAAUGCUGUUCGCUCACUGUCCAAACAUCAGUUUGAUUUUUUUCCUCCAGAACCUCCAUCUGCAUUGUCAUGAUACAAUCAACCCUGCCAGGAAAUGAUAAUCACUUGACUUGGUGGUCAAUGACAACUGGUCAUCAUUUAGAAGAAACCCAGGCCAGAACAACAGCCUCCCAUUGCCAUUAUUUCCAGUGUGAUCAUGAAUAAGUCAUUCAACAUGCAGAGACUUAAUUCCACAGAAUGCUACCCAGUGGCCA
Molecule: long non-coding RNA, 568 nt
Organism: Sus scrofa (pig)
Lineage: Eukaryota; Metazoa; Chordata; Mammalia; Artiodactyla; Suidae
Source: RefSeq, a predicted model, not a curated record